GAUGAACGCUAGCGACAGGCUUAACACAUGCAAGUCGAGGGGCAGCACGGGAGUAGCAAUACAACUGGUGGCGACCGGCGCACGGGUGAGUAACGCGUAUGCAACCUACCUAUCAGAGGGGAAUAACCCGGCGAAAGUCGGACUAAUACCGCAUAAAACAGGGGCACCGCAUGGUGAUAUUUGUUAAAGAAAUUCGCUGAUAGAUGGGCAUGCGUUCCAUUAGGUAGUUGGUGAGGUAACGGCUCACCAAGCCGACGAUGGAUAGGGGAACUGAGAGGUUGGUCCCCCACACUGGUACUGAGACACGGACCAGACUCCUACGGGAGGCAGCAGUGAGGAAUAUUGGUCAAUGGGCGGGAGCCUGAACCAGCCAAGUCGCGUGAAGGAAGAAGGAUCUAUGGUUCGUAAACUUCUUUUGCAGGGGAAUAAAGUGCAGGACGUGUCCUGUUUUGUAUGUACCCUGAGAAUAAGGAUCGGCUAACUCCGUGCCAGCAGCCGCGGUAA
Molecule: ribosomal RNA, 504 nt
Filed under: uncultured bacterium
Lineage: Bacteria
Description: bacterial SSU rRNA
Rfam family: Bacterial small subunit ribosomal RNA
Source: RNAcentral